CGGGGCGUAGCACAGCUUGGUAGUGCGCUGCGUUCGGGACGCAGAGGUCGCAAGUUCAAAUCUUGUCGCCCCGA
Roseburia sp. CAG:303 is the source of this 74-nucleotide transfer RNA. It matches the Rfam family "tRNA". Rfam says of the family: Transfer RNA (tRNA) molecules are approximately 80 nucleotides in length. Their secondary structure includes four short double-helical elements and three loops (D, anti-codon, and T loops). NCBI's taxonomy places the organism in Bacteria, Bacillati, Bacillota, Clostridia, Lachnospirales, Lachnospiraceae. The record is from Rfam.